AAUAACCAUGGGAGGGAAUGCCCGUGGGAUGACAUGAACCGACGAAUAAGCCCCGGCUAACUACGUGCCAGCAGCCGCGGUAACACGUAGGGGGCGAGCGUUGUUCGGAAUUACUGGGCGUAAAGGGCAUGUAGGCGGUCUUGUAAGCUUGGCGUGAAAGACCACGGCUCAACCGUGGGAUUGCGUUGAGAACUGCGAGGCUUGAGUGACGGACAGGGAGCUAGAAUUCCUGGUGUACGGGUGGAAUCUGUAGAGAUCAGGAAGAAUACCAAUGGCGAAGGCAAGCUCCUGGCCGAUGACUGACGCUGAGGUGCGAAAGUGUGGGGAUCAAACAGGAUUAGAUACCCUGGUAGUCCACACUGUAAACGAUGUGCACUAGGUGCUGGUACGGAUGUAUCACU
Molecule: ribosomal RNA, 401 nt
Filed under: uncultured bacterium
Lineage: Bacteria
Description: bacterial SSU rRNA
Rfam family: Bacterial small subunit ribosomal RNA
Source: RNAcentral